Molecule: non-coding RNA, 253 nt
Filed under: uncultured bacterium
Lineage: Bacteria
Also listed under: 1 other name
Description: partial 16S ribosomal RNA
Rfam family: Bacterial small subunit ribosomal RNA
Source: RNAcentral
UACGGAGGAUCCAAGCGUUAUCCGGAUUUAUUGGGUUUAAAGGGUGCGUAGGUGGUUCAUUAAGUCAGGGGUGAAAGACGGCAGCUUAACUGUCGCAGUGCCUUUGAUACUGAUGAACUUGAAUGAACUAGAGGUAGGCGGAAUGUGACAAGUAGCGGUGAAAUGCAUAGAUAUGUCACAGAACACCAAUUGCGAAGGCAGCUUACUAUGGUUUGAUUGACACUGAGGCACGAAAGCGUGGGGAUCAAACAGG